RNAcentral lists this ribosomal RNA (391 nucleotides) under uncultured Scuticociliatia. RNAcentral describes it as "partial small subunit ribosomal RNA". It matches the Rfam family "Eukaryotic small subunit ribosomal RNA", at positions 30 to 432 of the family's 1831-position model. The record is from RNAcentral. Lineage: Eukaryota; Ciliophora; Oligohymenophorea.
GCUUGUCUCAAAGAUUAAGCCAUGCAUGUCUAUGUAUAAACAAGUAUACUGUGAAACUGCGAAUGGCUCAUUAAAUCAGUUAUAGUUUAUUUGAUAGUACCUUACUACUUGGAUAACCGUGGUAAUUCUAGAGCUAAUACAUGCUAAAAAACCCGACUUCUGGAAGGGUUGUAUUUAUUAGACUUAAGCCAAUAUUCCUUGUGUCUAUUGCGAUGAUUCAUAAUAACUGAUCGAAUCUCAAAUUUGAGAUAAAUCAUUCAAGUUUCUGCCCUAUCAGCUUUCGAUGGUAGGGUAUUGGCCUACCAUGGCAUUGACGGGUAACGGAGAAUUAGGGUUCGAUUCCGGAGAGGGAGCCUGAGAAACGGCUACCACAUCCAAGGAAGGCAGCAGG